AGGUUUCCAAUUUAGGGGGAUUCGGCGAAAUAUUACCCUCAGUGAUGAUAUUUCAUCACUUCGAGUAACAUUUCGCCGAAUCCCCCUCGCUCCA
Paramuricea clavata is the source of this 94-nucleotide non-coding RNA. Lineage: Eukaryota; Metazoa; Cnidaria; Anthozoa; Malacalcyonacea; Plexauridae. The record is from the annotation of a GenBank genome assembly.